UGGAGAUAGUUUCAUGAACAGUCCAUAAUCUUAUAUAUUGUUAAAAUGAUGUUUUAUUCAAGAAUUUAAAUGAAUUCAUUUCUAAAAGAUUCCGCACUAUAUCAUCCAAAAAUGAUGUCUGUAAGUUGUAAAGGUAGUAGAAUCGUAUAUAUGAAAGUUGACCAACUCUCUCUAUAUGAUUGAGACAUCGUUACUUUAGCAUUUGCCAUGUAUCUAUUAAAUAAUUAAUGUAAACUCUUCAACUUUUAACUUAUAUGUUAGUGAUAUAUUUAUUAUUUAAUUUUACAUAUUAUAUUAU
Molecule: small RNA, 298 nt
Filed under: Arabidopsis thaliana (thale cress)
Lineage: Eukaryota; Viridiplantae; Streptophyta; Magnoliopsida; Brassicales; Brassicaceae
Description: ATSL284480
Source: RNAcentral